GACGAACGCUGGCGGCGUGCUUAACACAUGCAAGUCGAACGAUGAAGCCCUUCGGGGUGGAUUAGUGGCGAACGGGUGAGUAACACGUGGGCAAUCUGCCCUCCACUCUGGGACAAGCCCUGGAAACGGGGUCUAAUACCGGAUAUCACUUCUGCCCGCAUGGGCGGGGGUUGAAAGCUCCGGCGGUGGAGGAUGAGCCCGCGGCCUAUCAGCUUGUUGGUGAGGUAAUGGCUCACCAAGGCGACGACGGGUAGCCGGCCUGAGAGGGCGACCGGCCACACUGGGACUGAGACACGGCCCAGACUCCUACGGGAGGCAGCAGUGGGGAAUAUUGCACAAUGGGCGCAAGCCUGAUGCAGCGACGCCGCGUGAGGGAAGACGGCCUUCGGGUUGUAAACCUCU
RNAcentral lists this ribosomal RNA (402 nucleotides) under bacterium Ellin5063. RNAcentral describes it as "bacterial SSU rRNA". It matches the Rfam family "Bacterial small subunit ribosomal RNA", at positions 28 to 434 of the family's 1533-position model. The record is from RNAcentral. Lineage: Bacteria; Bacillati; Actinomycetota; Actinomycetes; Kitasatosporales; Streptomycetaceae.